Anneissia japonica is the source of this 893-nucleotide long non-coding RNA. RefSeq lists it as uncharacterized. The record is from RefSeq and is a predicted model, not a curated record. Lineage: Eukaryota; Metazoa; Echinodermata; Crinoidea; Comatulida; Comatulidae. The transcript has 3 exons.
CGUAAACAAGAGUAUUCUCUGACGGCUGACGAUUGCGCUGUAAGACAUAGACACGUUUCUUCCGAGCGCCGUAUUCUUGGAAUUUUGUAUUUUCGACAGAUCUGAGAGAAAAUAUCAGAACCUUCAAUAUCUGUUCAACGAAAAACUGAACUUAAAAAAAGUAUCAACAUCUGGGAAUUCUAUAGAAGUAUAAAAAAAACCACCAGGCGGAAAGUGUUUUAAUAUCAUUUGUCGUUGAGGAUGUCUUACCUGGCGAUCGACUCCAAUAGCUGGCCGGCCUAUACGCUUCGAAUUAGUCACCAUCUCAAAUAGAUGCGGUACGAGUUGGCUAAGGAAUUUGAGUACGGGGGUCUGCAAAUCGCUGAUAUGUACACCUUUUACAUAUUGUAGUUGCUUGCCUCACACAUGGAAGCGUUAUCACAAAUGAGGGAGUAACAAUAUUUCAUUCUUAGUUUCUUUGCUUAUUCAAUCAAUAAAUGGAUAUUUGUGCAACCUUCUAGUUCUGAUAUGUGGUGGCAUGAAUAUUUCUAGGUUUAUUUACAAAUAUGACCGCUGGCAAAAUCUGAUAGUAGUAAAAGGAUGUUUUAUUAUCUCAUUUUAAAAGCAACGUCUUAGUAAGAAAAUAGGUUCGGAGAUGUGAUGACGAUACGAAAUGUUAGAAUAGAAAAAUAAAUUUAAGCAAAUCACUCAGUUAAUCAUUCAUUUUGUGAAGUAUCCACAAAUUAGAAACAAUACAUUGACACGGUCAAAAAUGUUUCCAAUCAUUUAUAUUUUGAUAUGUAGGCCUAUAUAUGUUUAUAUCAUUUUGAAACAUCUCUCACCACUGAGAAAGGACUAGUAUUGUGCGAAAGCUCUGGUUCUAUUUCUGAUUGUUUACUUACUUUUUUUUUAGC